UAUACAAUCUACCUUUAACUGAGGGAUAGCCCAGAGAAAUUUGGAUUAAUACCUCAUAGUAUUAUAAUUAGGCAUCUUUUUAUAAUUAAAACUUCGGUGGUUAAAGAUGAGUAUGCGUACUAUUAGCUAGUUGGUAAGGUAAAAGCUUACCAAGGCAACGAUAGUUAGGGGGCCUGAAAGGGUGAUCCCCCACACUGGUACUGAGACACGGACCAGACUCCUACGGGAGGCAGCAGUGAGGAAUAUUGCACAAUGGAGGAAACUCUGAUGCAGCCAUGCCGCGUGCAGGAAGAAUGCCCUAUGGGUUGUAAACUGCUUUUAUACAAGAAGAAACCUCGGUACGUGUACCGACUUGACGGUAUUGUAUGAAUAAGCACCGGCUAACUCCGUGCCAGCAGCCGCGGUAAUACGGAGGGUGCAAGCGUUAUCCGGAUUUAUUAGGUUUAAAGGGUCCGCAGGCGGAAUAUUAAGUCAGUGGUGAAAGCCUACAGCUCAACUGUA
This 501-nucleotide ribosomal RNA is filed under the name uncultured Bacteroidota bacterium. Its description in RNAcentral is "bacterial SSU rRNA". It matches the Rfam family "Bacterial small subunit ribosomal RNA", at positions 118 to 617 of the family's 1533-position model. Lineage: Bacteria; Pseudomonadati; Bacteroidota. The record is from RNAcentral.